RNAcentral lists this ribosomal RNA (449 nucleotides) under uncultured bacterium. RNAcentral describes it as "partial 16S ribosomal RNA". It matches the Rfam family "Bacterial small subunit ribosomal RNA", at positions 338 to 795 of the family's 1533-position model. The record is from RNAcentral.
CCUACGGGUGGCUGCAGUGGGGAAUUUUGGACAAUGGGGGCAACCCUGAUCCAGCCAUGCCGCGUGAGUGAAGAAGGCCUUCGGGUUGUAAAGCUCUUUCGGCCGGGAAGAAAUCGCUCAAGCUAAUACCUUGGGUGGAUGACGGUACCGGAAGAAGAAGCACCGGCUAACUACGUGCCAGCAGCCGCGGUAAUACGUAGGGUGCGACCGUUAGUCGAGAUUACUCGGCGUAAACCGUGAGCCAGAGGCGAAAUCCCCGGGCUUAACCUGGGAACUGCGUUUGUGACUGUGGUGCUGGAGUGCGGCAGAGGGGGGUGGAAUUCCACGUGUAGCAGUGAAAUGCGUAGAGAUGUGGAGGAACACCGAUGGCGAAGGCAGCCCCCUGGGUCGACACUGACGCUCAUGCACGAAAGCGUGGGGAGCAAACAGGAUUAGAUACCCUUGUAGUC